GGGUUGUAAACCCCUUUCAGCAGGGACGAAAUUGACGGUACCUGCAGAAGAAGCUCCGGCCAACUACGUGCCAGCAGCCGCGGUAACACGUAGGGAGCGAGCGUUGUCCGGAUUUAUUGGGCGUAAAGGGCUCGUAGGCGGUUUGGUAAGUCAGGUGUGAAAGCUCAGGGCUCAACUCUGAGAAGCCAUCUGAAACUGCCAUGACUAGAGUUCGGUAGAGGAGCGUGGAAUUUCCGGUGUAGCGGUGAAAUGCUCAGAUAUCGGGAGGAACACCAGCAGCGAAGGCGGCGCUCUGGGCCGAAACUGACGCUGAGGAGCGAAAGCGUGGGGAGCAAACAGGAUUAGAUACCCUGGUAG
Molecule: ribosomal RNA, 357 nt
Filed under: Acidimicrobiia bacterium
Lineage: Bacteria; Bacillati; Actinomycetota; Acidimicrobiia
Description: bacterial SSU rRNA
Rfam family: Bacterial small subunit ribosomal RNA
Source: RNAcentral